Molecule: transfer RNA, 72 nt
Filed under: Candidatus Roizmanbacteria bacterium CG_4_10_14_0_8_um_filter_36_36
Lineage: Bacteria; Candidatus Roizmaniibacteriota
Also listed under: 5 other names
Description: tRNA-Trp
Rfam family: tRNA
About the family: Transfer RNA (tRNA) molecules are approximately 80 nucleotides in length. Their secondary structure includes four short double-helical elements and three loops (D, anti-codon, and T loops).
Source: RNAcentral
GGGGCCAUGGUGUUAAUGGUAGCAUGUUCGUCUCCAAAACGAACGGUGGAUGUUCGAAUCAUCCUGGCCCUG